CGGGUGGCAGCAGUGGGGAAUAUUGGACAAUGGGCGAAAGCCUGAUCCAGCCAUGCCGCGUGUGUGAUGAAGGCCUUAGGGUUGUAAAGCACUUUUGUCAGGGAAGAUAAUGACGGUACCUGAAGAAUAAGCACCGGCUAACUUCGUGCCAGCAGCCGCGGUAAUACGAAGGGUGCUAGCGUUGUUCGGAAUCACUGGGCGUAAAGCGCGCGUAGGUGGCUUAGCAAGUCAGAGGUGAAAGCCUGGAGCUCAACUCCAGAACUGCCUUUGAAACUGCUAAGCUUGAGUGUCGGAGGGGAUAGCGGAAUUGCUAAUGUAGAGGUGAAAUUCGUAGAUAUUAGCAGGAACACCGGUGGCGAAGGCGGCUAUCUGGACGACAACUGACACUGAGGCGCGAAAGCGUGGGGAUCAAACAGGAUUAGAUACCCCAGU
RNAcentral lists this ribosomal RNA (432 nucleotides) under uncultured Alphaproteobacteria bacterium. RNAcentral describes it as "bacterial SSU rRNA". It matches the Rfam family "Bacterial small subunit ribosomal RNA", at positions 342 to 791 of the family's 1533-position model. The record is from RNAcentral. Lineage: Bacteria; Pseudomonadati; Pseudomonadota; Alphaproteobacteria.